Molecule: ribosomal RNA, 340 nt
Filed under: Apachyus peterseni
Lineage: Eukaryota; Metazoa; Arthropoda; Insecta; Dermaptera; Apachyidae
Description: eukaryotic LSU rRNA
Rfam family: Eukaryotic large subunit ribosomal RNA
Source: RNAcentral
UUUAAGCAUAUUAUUAAGCGGAGGAAAAGAAACUAACAAGGAUUCCCUUAGUAGCUGCGAGCGAACAGGGAUAAGCUCAGCAUGAAAUCUUGUAAUCUAACGGUUAUCAAGAAAUGUCAUGUUUAGGAAGAUUCGUUUAUCCUAGAAUGUACACUUAGUCCAAGUCCACCUUGAAUGGGGCAUAUCCCGUAGAGGGUGCCAGUCCCGUAGUGGCAAGUGUCUAAAAUCAUUUUAGGUGAAUCUUUCCUUAGAGUCGGGUUGCUUGUAAAUGCAGCUCUAAUUGGGUGGUAAACUCCAUCUAAAGCUAAAUAUAACCACGAGACCGAUAGCGAACAAGUAC